GUACUCUAUUAUGAUGUUUGUAAUCUAAAUCCUGCCAUAGUGCUGAUAAUUUCAUAUUUUAACUAAGCGGCAGUUUAUAACUUCAAAAGAUUUAGAGCAAUGGAAGCUGAGCCAGCUUACUCUGUAAGAAAAGAACUUAGAAAGUUUAUAAUAGUAGAAGAACGUCUGACAUUUUUGAGACAGUGCCGAAUUAAUGAAGUAUUUCUGAUGACUAUUUAUAAACUGAAAUUGCCGGUAAGAUCUAAGAAUUUAUUACGUAUUACAAAGAAGCGAUGCUUGUCUGCAGCAAUUACGGACGUUAGGAG
This 305-nucleotide long non-coding RNA is filed under the name Androctonus crassicauda. Lineage: Eukaryota; Metazoa; Arthropoda; Arachnida; Scorpiones; Buthidae. The record is from RNAcentral.